ACUAUUUUGGCAGAUUAUAUGCGUUAGGUUUAGGACCUAAUUAGAUAGAGGUUUCUAUAGAUAGUU
Molecule: transfer RNA, 66 nt
Filed under: Chionoecetes opilio (snow crab)
Lineage: Eukaryota; Metazoa; Arthropoda; Malacostraca; Decapoda; Majidae
Also listed under: 2 other names
Description: tRNA-Leu
Source: RNAcentral